UGGGGAAUAUUGCACAAUGGGCGAAAGCCUGAUGCAGCAACGCCGCGUGAGUGAUGAAGGUCUUCGGAUUGUAAAGCUCUGUCUUUUGGGACGAUAAUGACGGUACCAAAGGAGGAAGCCACGGCUAACUACGUGCCAGCAGCCGCGGUAAUACGUAGGUGGCGAGCGUUGUCCGGAUUUACUGGGCGUAAAGGGUGCGUAGGCGGAUGUUUAAGUGAGAUGUGAAAUACCCGGGCUUAACUUGGGUGCUGCAUUUCAAAGCUG
Molecule: ribosomal RNA, 264 nt
Filed under: uncultured bacterium
Lineage: Bacteria
Description: partial 16S ribosomal RNA
Rfam family: Bacterial small subunit ribosomal RNA
Source: RNAcentral